AAUGAACGCUGGCGGCAGGCCUAACACAUGCAAGUCGAACGCCCCGCAAGGGGAGUGGCGCACGGGUGAGUAACGCGUGGGAAUAUGCCCUUCGGUUCGGAAUAACACAGGGAAACUUGUGCUAAUACCGGAUAAGAUCUACGGAUGAAAGAUUCAUCACCGAAGGAGUAGCCCGCGUAGGAUUAGCUUGUCGGUGAGGUAACGGCUAACCAAGGCGACGAUCCUUAGCUGGUCUGAGAGGAUGAUCAGCCACACUGGGACUGAGACACGGCCCAGACUCCUACGGGAGGCAGCAGUGGGGAAUAUUGGACAAUGGGCGAAAGCCUGAUCCAGCCAUGCCGCGUGAGUGAUGAAGGCCUUAGGGUUGUAAAGCUCUUUCGCCAGGGAAGAUAAUGACGGUACCUGGAAAAGAAGCCUCGGCUAACUCCGUGCCAGCCGCCGCCGUAA
This 447-nucleotide ribosomal RNA is filed under the name uncultured bacterium. RNAcentral's name for it is "partial 16S ribosomal RNA". It matches the Rfam family "Bacterial small subunit ribosomal RNA", at positions 29 to 523 of the family's 1533-position model. The record is from RNAcentral.